RNAcentral lists this ribosomal RNA (256 nucleotides) under uncultured bacterium. RNAcentral describes it as "partial 16S ribosomal RNA". It matches the Rfam family "Bacterial small subunit ribosomal RNA", at positions 524 to 778 of the family's 1533-position model. The record is from RNAcentral.
UACAGAGGUCCCAAGCGUUGUUCGGAUUCACUGGGCGUAAAGGGUGCGUAGGCGGUCGGGUAAGUCUGAUGUGAAAUCUCACAGCUUAACUGUGAAACUGCAUUGGAUACUAUCCGGCUCGAGGAAUGGAGGGGAGACUGGAAUACUUGGUGUAGCAGUGAAAUGCGUAGAUAUCAAGUGGAACACCAGUGGCGAAGGCGAGUCUCUGGACAUUUCCUGACGCUGAGGCACGAAAGCCAGGGGGAGCAAAACGGGG